GAUGAACGCUGGCGGCGUGCCUAAUACAUGCAAGUCGAGCGAACAGACGAGGAGCUUGCUCCUCUGACGUUAGCGGCGGACGGGUGAGUAACACGUGGAUAACCUACCUAUAAGACUGGGAUAACUUCGGGAAACCGGAGCUAAUACCGGAUAACAUGUUGAACCGCAUGGUUCAACAGUGAAAGACGGUCUUGCUGUCACUUAUAGAUGGAUCCGCGCCGCAUUAGCUAGUUGGUAAGGUAACGGCUUACCAAGGCAACGAUGCGUAGCCGACCUGAGAGGGUGAUCGGCCACACUGGAACUGAGACACGGUCCAGACUCCUACGGGAGGCAGCAGUAGGGAAUCUUCCGCAAUGGGCGAAAGCCUGACGGAGCAACGCCGCGUGAGUGAAGAAGGUCUUCGGAUCGUAAAACUCUGUUAUUAGGGAAGAACAAAUGUGUAAGUAACUAUGCACGUCCUGACGGUACCGAAUCAGAAAGCCACGGCUAACUACGU
This 496-nucleotide ribosomal RNA is filed under the name uncultured bacterium. RNAcentral's name for it is "partial 16S ribosomal RNA". It matches the Rfam family "Bacterial small subunit ribosomal RNA", at positions 28 to 506 of the family's 1533-position model. The record is from RNAcentral.